Molecule: long non-coding RNA, 216 nt
Filed under: Nicotiana benthamiana
Lineage: Eukaryota; Viridiplantae; Streptophyta; Magnoliopsida; Solanales; Solanaceae
Description: long non-coding RNA (NBEN_LNC029354)
Source: RNAcentral
AUAGGAUAAAAUGAAAAGCUGCAUUAAAACAAAGACAAAAUUAGAAACAAAAGCAUAAGUAAUCCCGCAGAGAUAACGUAAGUAAUUAUGUAAACACAAGAAACAUAAAUACAGUAUGCAAUAAUAACAAGCAGUAUCUACCAUACUAACAACCACAAGGGGACAUAAGCUAAAACACUAAUCAUCUAUGGGUAACCCUACUAUCCCACACCCAAC